RNAcentral lists this long non-coding RNA (6294 nucleotides) under Homo sapiens (human). Its description in RNAcentral is "HSALNT0372601". The record is from RNAcentral. Lineage: Eukaryota; Metazoa; Chordata; Mammalia; Primates; Hominidae.
AAAAAAAAAAAAAGAAAAAAAGAAAAAAAAAUCCUGUCAUUUUCAGCACCAUGGCUGGAACCAGAAGUCGUUAUGUUUAGUGAAAUUAGCACAAAAAGUGAAAUGGGCACAAAAUUUAGUGAAAUGGGCACAAAAAGAUGACUAUUGCAGGUUCUCACUUAUAUAUGGGAGCUUAAAAAAACGUGGAUUUCAUGAAGAUAGAGAGUGAUUGGAGCUUACCAGAGGCCAGGAAGUGUAGAGGGAAGGGGGGAAAUGAAGAUUGAUUGAUUAAUGGGCACAAAUAUCAGUACAGUGACUACAGUUAAUAUUAAUCAAUUGUACAUUUCUAAAGAGCUAGGAGAGAACAAUUUGAAUGUUUCUAGAGUAAAGAAAAGACAAAUAUUUAAGGUGAUAAAUAAUUACCCAAAUUUGAUAUGAAUAUAUCAAAUUAUCACAUACACUGCAAAAACAUGUACAACUAUGUGUUAAUAAAAUAUAAAUCAAUUUAAAAAGAAAAAAUAUGUAUUUUGAUAAAAUGUGUAAUAUAUUUGGCAACUUUAAAUAGAGGGCUACACUGGUAAACCUGAAGGAAAGCAAAUUUACCAUGGAUUUUGUGACCUUUCCAUACCAUUUUGAUGGAUAAUUUGGGCCUUCUAAUCCAUAAGUUGAGAGAAGAACAUCAAUUACCUGUAGGCUCAUACAGAUCACUCACCUUGCCCAGGACGCUGCCUCCAAACAGGUAAGAAACAUAUAUCACAGAAGGGCAUGAUUACUGGCAUUAACAUCAGCCAAUGGCCAGGAACUUGAUCCAACAUAUCCUGGCUAUUCUCUUCCUACUCUAAUGAACACCUUCCUACUUAUUCAUCCUUCAAGGUUGAAAUCAAUGUCACCUUCUUUGGAAAGCUUUCCCAAGCCUAAUUAAUUACUUUCUCCUUUAUGCUUUUAAAGCACUUCUACCUAUAUCUGUAAAAUAACUUAAUCCAGUAGCUUUCCCCUUAUCUGUAGUUUCACUUUCCACAGUUUCAGUUACCUGUGGUCAGUCAUUGUUCAAAAAUAUUAAAUGAGGAAUUCCAGAAAUAAACAAUUCAUAAGUGUUAAGUGCUAUCUUAUGAUGCCUGUGACAUUCACCUCACUUCAUCUCAUUACAUCAGCAUUUUAUCUUCUCCAAUCAUCACAAGGAAAAGGGUGAGUACAGUACAAUAAAAUAUUUGGAGAGAGGCCACAUUCACAUAGUAUGCAGGAUUGUUAUAAUUAUUCUGUUUUAUUAUUAGUUACUGUUGGUUAUCUCUUACUCUGCCUAAUUUGUAAAUUAAACUUUAUCAUAGGUAUGUACAUAUAGGAAGAAAACAUAGUAUAUUUAGGGGUUGGUACUAUCUGCGGUUUCAGGCAUCCACUGGGGGUCUUGGAAUGUAUGCCCCAUUGAUAAGAAGGAACUGCUUUAUUUAUAUCUCUGCAUGAUCUCUAACUGCCUGAGACUCAGAGACAAAGUCUAGUUUUCUGUACAAGUCUACCUUCUAGCAUAGUUUUUGGCACUUGUGACUUUUCCCUUUCAUUAUAAUCAUAGUACUUCAUCUUAUGGUACACAUAUUCUCUCAUCUUUUAAAGUUUUUCUAAUUUUCAUUUCUGUGAAACCUGCAAAGAAGUGUAAAAGAUCACAUGAUCAAGGACACAGUGAAUAGACAGCCAGCUUCCCAUGCCUCUUGAAAUCUUUUAGAGAGAAGUGAGAAAUUUGGUAAGUCAGAGAAACCUAGAUUCCCAGUCGCAAGUCUUUUAUAGAAUUAGGCAGUAUGGGGAUCACUGCUCUCAGGUGCAGGCUAUUACUAUGUGAUCCUUGCUGUGUCUAAAUUCCAUCCUUCCAUAGUCAGUUUCCUAUUUCAUCUAGCUUACAGCAGGCCUACCAUCACUUACUAUAUUACAUAGGUUCUAGCAUGCAUACCAAAUACUUGUAUUUUGGCUUCAGUUUUCACUUCUUUCCAGUUGUCUAAUUUGAUGGUUCAGUAAUUUCUUACUCCUCUACACCUUAAACAAGUCACAGCAUGCCCUUCUAAUAUUCCCAUAGUGCAAUUCCUAUGCUUUACCCAACUCAUCAGCCUUUCUCCAAAGCUUUGUUGAAGCUUCACUUGGUCCUGGUUUAAAUAUGUAUUGCUGAAGCAGAAUGCUUUGACCCUACUAGGUACUCACACUCACUCAAAUACCCUUUGCUCCAAUAAAUAAAUAGGCCCAACUUUUUUGUCUCAAAUUCAUAACAAAUAUUCUGAUAGAAAUAACAAACAAGAAAAUAAAACUUACAAUGGCUGAAUUUUACCUGGAGAGGACAGUAAAGAAUCAUGACGUCUUUGUGAAAACAACAGUGGCCCAGGGAAAAUCAGAUCUUAGUAAAAGUAAUGAACACAAAAUAGAACUUACACCAACUAAAACAGUAACAAGGUGUCAUUUGUUGUGGAACACAAAUUGACAGAAGAAUCAAAGCUUGGUACUAUUUAGAUCAUGUACAGUGAAAUUUCAUAUAAUUAAUGGCCAAACGUACACAUUUAUAAUGGUAGAAUUGUAGUUGAUAAUUCUUGUCUAUAAUUGAUAAAACUUGAUAUGGGCAAAAAGUUUUCCAUGAAUCAAACCCCUAUUUAAUUUACAGAAAAAUGAUAGCAUUGGAGCAUUUUAGAAAGAUAAAAAUGAAGGUGAACAAAAAGUGAAAAUGGUUCAAGUGCAUUGAAUAGACAAUUCAUCUAGUAGUUAAAUUCAUUUAAUGAAAUUCACUCUGGAAUAUACCUUUUCCACAAAAAUUCAUCUAUGUCAGUAUACUUAUUGAAACACUUGUAAUUUUAAGCAUGGGGUCAAAACAUCUCCAUGUCAAAAUAGCUGGAUCAAAAUGCUGUUUGCCCAUUUCAUGCCAGAAGUUCCUCCAUUAUAACCACUGAUGCUUCCCUUAGAAGUCUGUAUGUAAAUGAUUUGGGACUUCACUGGGCCAUAUGUCACCAUUAAUAACAGAAAGUGUUUGUGGGUUUGCUUUUCUUCUUUAGAAAAUGAAGAGAUUGUUUUUAUGGAUAAUGGUAUUUAGGGAUUUUUUUUUCUAUUGUUUAAAUUAAUAGUCAAUAUAUUUUAAAGGAUUAGGUGUUGGGGAGGAAAUAACAGGAAAAUUAAGUUUACUCUGCCAAACAGGCAUUAUCCCUGAGAAGUAGUUCCUUCUUAUUCUGCACUAUAAAUCCUUUUAUCACCAUGUAUAUUUCUACAGGGGCUACUGCUAUCUUGCUUUGGUAGUUACAGUAAAUCAAGAUAAAGACACCAGUCUGCUUGGACUUGUGGAGAGGUAGCAAACAGGUAUGGAAGACCUGGAAUCGACUUCAGAAAUGCUCACGAUGCUUGGGUACCCUGAUGUGGUACUACCUAGCCUACUUGGGUCAAAUGACUUUUGCAAAAUUCUAUAAGAUACUUAGCAUUCUCCUGUGGCAAUUAUUUGUUAACAAAAUGCUGGAAGGAAGAGCUCUAAAGAUUUUCUUAAAUAUAUCUGUCCCAGGGAUAUCAAAUGUUUAGGAGAAAUAGUGUAGUAACAGAGGUAAGCUAUCAAUUUAAUUUCACUUGACAUCUAAUCUAGUUGUGUUACCAUGAUGUUCCCUGACUACGUAGGGCUUCUGCCUGCCAUUGGACACUAAAUAAUUAAGAAUUAGUUUCUUGGGUUGUUGAUUAUAUCAGAAAGUCCCAGGUUAUAAACGGGAUUAAACAGUGAACACACUAAAGGUAUAAAGUUAUUUAUUCAGUAUAUUUAUAAGGCCUCAACAUAAUUUAUAGAAUUUACAUUUAGCUAUGUAUUUAUCCAAGAGAGAUUUGUUAAGCUACAUUUCAGAAAGAUUUACUAACUAUAUGUGUACAUCAAAUUCAAAGUAGGCUUAUACAUUUGAGCUUUAUAUUGGACAGAAUUAUUCUAAUGACAUAGUAAGCUAGACAAUUGAGUUCUCCUAUAGAAAACUUAUACUUUUUUAAACUACCAAUAACCAUUACCCUAUUAAAAAUGGCUUCACAAAUAUGACAGUACAGGAGAAGACUCAUAGGAGAACUUCUCAGUGGGUAGACUGGCCAUUCUGAUCUGAGUGCAAAUAACACCAAGGCAGAGUUUACUUAAGCUUAUGUCUAUAAAAUUUAAGUGUUGAAGUGGGAAGAUAUUAAUUUAUAUGCAUGGCCUGUUAAAUGGCUAGUUUAGAGCUAUCAAAUAAUCUUGUAUAUGAUGUUAUACUAUGUUAUUCUUUGUGAAAAGGUAAUAAGGACAGUGUAAAUUUCAGGGCUACUUCCUACUCAUACCUUGUUGAUAAAAAUGUAGAUUGGUUGAAUACUUCGAAGAGCAGUUUGGCAAUAUUGAAUAUGAGCUGUAAAAAUACAUAACCAUUGUAACAUGAAGACCUUAUGUAAAUUAACAAGAAAAACUCAUCUGCAGUAAGCCUUAUCGAACCCCUUGCCUGGGCUAAAUGCUCUAUUCCAAAUAAAUAAAUAAAUAGUUUGUAAUUAGAGGAGGGUUUUUAUGUUCAAUUGUGAGAUCAAUCUUUAAGAAAUUUUAAGGAUUUAAUAGUCUUAUAUAAUUAGAGCUUGAAGUUAAAGGGAAAAGAUGUUAAAUGAGGUGAAAGUGAGCAGAAAGAAAUCUUCUGCAUAUAGAGGUAACAUCUCAAUCAGAAGAAAGAAGGUUAAAAAAAGACCCGCAUCAGUUAGGAAGUGGUAAUUACACUAAUAUUUCAUUAUUAACUUCAAUCGUAAUUGAUUGACUUUUUUGACUUACUGUUGUGAUGAAAUGGCAACAGAGUAGAUUAUUAACUUUCAGACAGAAAUAUUAAUUUUCCCUUUGAUCAAUAGCUUAAGAUAGAGAUAAAAUAAAAUGAAUAAGGAGAAUUAUGCUUGUUCGUGUUAAAAAUUUACUAACCAGCAAAGGCAUGAGAAUGAUAUAAUGGACUUUGGGGACUUGGGGAGAAGGGUGGGAGCGGGAUGAGGGAUAAAAGACCACAUAUUGGGUACAGUGUACACUGCUUGGGUGACAGGUGCACUAAAAUCUCAGAAAUCACCACUAAAGAACUUAUUAUCCACGUAACCAAAGACCAUCUGUACCACAAAAACUAAUGAAAUACAAAAAAAAUUUAUGAGCCAAAGGGAAAUAUCAGUGUGUGGCUAUAUUCUAAGUACAUCCAGUUUAAAGUAAUGAAUAUCGUUUCUCAUCUGACCCAUUUAAAGCUGGGCUUCCAUGUGCCACUGUGUAUCAAUAAAGGCAUCUAUGAAAGAGCACGGGGGAGGAAGUCAGAAUCUCUAAAAACUAGCUACUCAUUCUCAUGUACAAGUUAGAUUAUUUGGGGAUUUGAUUUUUCUAUCCAUUGUGUAGUCAUACCAUUUAUGUUUUAGAUAUUAAUAAGCAAAACUUUGGACAUACCAGGACACUCAUAGAUGAUUUAAACUUUGUAAUUUAUGUUACCCAUUUGACCCCCAUUCAAAGACUCACUAAUGAACUUUUAACCCUUAACUUUUCUUGGCAAGAGCAUUAUAUUUAAACUGGAAAUGCAUAGAAAUCAUCAUUGGAACAUUUAUAAGGAUCAUUCCUACUGUAAUUCGCUAACAACUCACUACUAGGUGGAUUGCUUUUUGUUCAGUUUUGCUCUUUUCUGGUUUACUUCCAACCUGUUUACUGAGACUGUCUUGGUAAUGCAAAUCUUUCUUCUUUGUUAGUCCACAGACAGUUUGCUCAUUUCGGAAGAAAGCUCCUGACUGAGGUUCUUUAGAUGCGUUUAACGGAGGGACAGCUGUGCAGAAGCAUCACUGUCUCACUCUUUUCCAGACUGAUCAAAUGAAGCGUCUGUCAUGUCACACAUAUGGAGUUCUCUACCAACAGCAAAGGCUAUUUAGUCAAGUUCUACAGAUCAAAAGUCUAACACUGGUGUUAUUGGGCUGAAAUCCAGGCGAUGGCAGAGCUGCGCUCCUUUCUGGAGGCUCCGGGGAGAAUUCUCUUCCUUAACCUUUCAAGCUUCUCGAGGCCCUCUGCACUCCCUGGAGACAGGAGGAGAGAAGAAUCAUGGACUCCCUGGGCACAGCACCGCAGGUGGCUUUGCCAGUUCUCCCAGCCCCGCGCUGCUCCUGCGCCUGCGCUGAGCCUCCACGUGUCCUCAGGAGACUUAGCCUAGCCUGGGUAUCACCAGCAGUGGGCCAGGCCGCUUUGCCUUCAACUCCCAACAGUAACCUUGCAGAGGUCAGCCUGGGGCCACCAGGAGGAGUUAGUAAGAGCUUAUCCUGUGGGGGCACUCACUGGGGCUGGUGGCCGGGAAAUCCCAGGUGUUUUGUUGGUUUGAGUUUUGU